UAGGGAAUUUUCCGCAAUGGGCGAAAGCCUGACGGAGCAACGCCGCGUGAGGGAUGAAGGUUUUCGGAUCGUAAACCUCUGUCUAGAGGGAAGAUAAUGACGGUACCUCUGGAGGAAGCCACGGCUAACUACGUGCCAGCAGCCGCGGUAAUACGUAGGUGGCAAGCGUUGUCCGGAAUUACUGGGCGUAAAGGGCGUGUAGGCGGCCUUUUAAGUCAGACGUGAAAUCCAUGGGCUUAACCCAUGAAUUGCGUUUGAAACUGGAGGGCUUGAGGAUCGGAGAGGGCAGUGGAAUUCCCAGUGUAGCGGUGAAAUGCGUAGAUAUUGGGAGGAACACCAGUGGCGAAGGCGACUGCCUGGACGACACCUGACGCUGAGGCGCGAAAGCUAGGGGAGCAAACG
RNAcentral lists this ribosomal RNA (402 nucleotides) under uncultured Bacillota bacterium. RNAcentral's name for it is "uncultured Firmicutes bacterium partial 16S ribosomal RNA". It matches the Rfam family "Bacterial small subunit ribosomal RNA", at positions 355 to 774 of the family's 1533-position model. The record is from RNAcentral. Lineage: Bacteria; Bacillati; Bacillota.